GAUGAACGCUGGCGGCGUGCCUAAUACAUGCAAGUCGAGCGAACGGACGAGAAGCUUGCUUCUCUGAUGUUAGCGGCGGACGGGUGAGUAACACGUGGAUAACCUACCUAUAAGACUGGGAUAACUUCGGGAAACCGGAGCUAAUACCGGAUAAUAUUUUGAACCGCAUGGUUCAAAAGUGAAAGACGGUCUUGCUGUCACUUAUAGAUGGAUCCGCGCUGCAUUAGCUAGUUGGUAAGGUAACGGCUUACCAAGGCAACGAUGCAUAGCCGACCUGAGAGGGUGAUCGGCCACACUGGAACUGAGACACGGUCCAGACUCCUACGGGAGGCAGCAGUAGGGAAUCUUCCGCAAUGGGCGAAAGCCUGACGGAGCAACGCCGCGUGAGUGAUGAAGGUCUUCGGAUCGUAAAGCUCUGUUAUUAGGGAAGAACAUAUGUGUAAGUAACUGUGCACAUCUUGACGGUAACUAAUCAGAAAGCCACGGCUAACUACGUG
This 497-nucleotide ribosomal RNA is filed under the name uncultured bacterium. Its description in RNAcentral is "partial 16S ribosomal RNA". It matches the Rfam family "Bacterial small subunit ribosomal RNA", at positions 28 to 507 of the family's 1533-position model. The record is from RNAcentral.